RNAcentral lists this small RNA (30 nucleotides) under Bombyx mori (domestic silkworm). RNAcentral describes it as "ovarian small RNA-28655". The record is from RNAcentral. Lineage: Eukaryota; Metazoa; Arthropoda; Insecta; Lepidoptera; Bombycidae.
UCGCCAAUGGCCGCCGCAUGCGGCGCGAAA